Molecule: non-coding RNA, 75 nt
Organism: Streptomyces uncialis
Lineage: Bacteria; Bacillati; Actinomycetota; Actinomycetes; Kitasatosporales; Streptomycetaceae
Rfam family: ASpks TB sRNA
Source: Rfam
CUUCAGCGAACCGAGGAGCAGCGGCUGUCCGUCCGUGCGGUCCUGCCCGUAGGUGGCCAGCAGGGCCUGGGCCUC